This 327-nucleotide ribosomal RNA is filed under the name uncultured bacterium. Its description in RNAcentral is "bacterial SSU rRNA". It matches the Rfam family "Bacterial small subunit ribosomal RNA", at positions 28 to 334 of the family's 1533-position model. The record is from RNAcentral.
GACGAACGCUGGCGGCGUGCUUAACACAUGCAAGUCGAACGGGGAUAUACUGGAGGAGAGCUUCGGCAGGAAUCGGGUAUAUUCCAGUGGCGGACGGGUGAGUAACGCGUGAGCAACCUGUCCCAGACAGGGGGAUAACACUUGGAAACAGGUGCUAAUACCGCAUAAGACCACGGGGUCACAUGGCCCAGGGGUAAAAGGUGCAAACCGGUUUGGGGUGGGCUCGCGUCCGAUUAGAUAGUUGGUGAGGUAACGGCCCACCAAGUCGACGAUCGGUAGCCGACCUGAGAGGGUGAUCGGCCACAUUGGAACUGAGAGACGGUCCAA